Molecule: long non-coding RNA, 772 nt
Organism: Rhipicephalus sanguineus (brown dog tick)
Lineage: Eukaryota; Metazoa; Arthropoda; Arachnida; Ixodida; Ixodidae
Exons: 3
Source: RefSeq, a predicted model, not a curated record
AAAAAAAAGCGAGAAAAAAAUUUUAACAUCGGAAAAAUUGAACAACAAAUUACACAGGCACGCAAACGCGUAUUUGGUUUGGAGUGUGAAUGAAACGUACUUACCGCUGGUGUCAUGCCAAAAGCAUAAACUUGCGCAAAGAGCUCAUACUUUUGUGAUUACUUUUAUUCCCGCGCAGAUUCAGUGAAUUUUUCCUCCGUAAUGGGAUUUGUGAGGAUUUUAGAAAUGUCCAAAUGGUGCAAACUAAAUUAGGAUUUCUAGGCGCAAACUCACUUCCCACCCCAUCAGCAUCGUCACCGCCAUCAGCUUUAACACGUGUGUUUCGCCGCUGGGCCUUCCGCCGCUGGGCCCAACGUUUCUUUCUCUGCGGUCUACGGCAAGCGAAGUUUGACAGCGCAGUUAUAUCACCACGUGUAAAACCUGCACAAUGUACGCUUAUGUGCGCUUCAAGGACGACGGCGUGAAGGUUGUCUGCACGAAGAAAGAAUUAAGAGAUUUUCUCCGUAUAGUAUCAAAGACUUCGACAACAAACAAUGGUACAGUGUACGCUGGGAUGACGAAAACAGCGGAUAUUUCAGAGCCCAGAUUAUGAAGUUGUUUGUAACCAAAGAGGAGGCUGAUGCUUCCGCGGAAAGCUCGAGCAAGAGAUUUUCCUGCCCCCAAAUGCCUAUGGACAGCAGUUUAGAAGGCGACACCGAAGCGAGCGGAGAAUCCUACAGAAAGCACAAAAGUGAAAAACAAGUGCCAAAAUCUCGUGUGAAGGAUACCGAGG